UGCCGACCGACGUGACGCCUUCCAUGGGCACCGAUGCCGAGGGCAGGGACCGGGCUUCGGAAGGAGCGCUGGUGGACGCCACCGACCUGCUGGAGCGCCUCGUCAGGUCCCUGGGGGACACCCUGGCGGGGGCGGUGCGCCUGAUUUUUGGGGGAAAAAAGGAGGGAUAGCGGGGCGAGCGCCGUCCCCGAAGCGGUGGCCUGGCUUUGGGGACGUUUGGGGACGUUUGGGGACGCCGGGGUCCUGGCCCAGGGCUCUGUGCGCCCCCGCUGCAGCCCCCCCCAUCCCCAAAUCCCAGUGCCACCAGCUCGUCCCCUGCCGAAAAAGGAUGGACCUCGCCGAGGCGGAACCCCAAUAAAACCAUCCCCA
Anas platyrhynchos (mallard) is the source of this 369-nucleotide non-coding RNA. The record is from RefSeq and is a predicted model, not a curated record. NCBI's taxonomy places the organism in Eukaryota, Metazoa, Chordata, Aves, Anseriformes, Anatidae.